GCCGCGGUGGCACAACCUGGUACUGCGCAGGAUUGCUACAGAUUGUGAACAUCCUGUUUCCUUCGGGAUUUGUGGGUUCAAAUCCCAUCCGCGGCG
This 96-nucleotide transfer RNA is filed under the name Candidatus Woesearchaeota archaeon. RNAcentral's name for it is "tRNA-Ser". It matches the Rfam family "tRNA". Rfam says of the family: Transfer RNA (tRNA) molecules are approximately 80 nucleotides in length. Their secondary structure includes four short double-helical elements and three loops (D, anti-codon, and T loops). The record is from RNAcentral. Lineage: Archaea; Nanobdellati; Candidatus Woesearchaeota.